RNAcentral lists this ribosomal RNA (263 nucleotides) under uncultured bacterium. RNAcentral's name for it is "partial 16S ribosomal RNA". It matches the Rfam family "Bacterial small subunit ribosomal RNA", at positions 793 to 1055 of the family's 1533-position model. The record is from RNAcentral.
GUCCACGCUGUAAACGAUGUCAACUAGCCGUUGGACUCUUUAAGGGUUCAGUGGUGCAGCUAACGCGAUAAGUUGACCUCCUGGGGAGUACGGUCGCAAGAUUAAAACUCAAAUGAAUUGACGGGGGCCCGCACAAGCGGUGGAGUAUGUGGUUUAAUUCGAUGCAACGCGAAGAACCUUACCUGGCCUUGACAUGUCCGGAACUUACCAGAGAUGGUUUGGUGCCUUCGGGAACCGGAACACAGGUGCUGCAUGGCUGUCGU